This is a long non-coding RNA of Hemicordylus capensis (graceful crag lizard), 691 nucleotides long. RefSeq lists it as uncharacterized. The record is from RefSeq and is a predicted model, not a curated record. Lineage: Eukaryota; Metazoa; Chordata; Lepidosauria; Squamata; Cordylidae. The transcript is spliced from 2 exons.
UCUGUAGGACGAACAGCACUGCAAAGCCUACCAGAGAGCUAGACAUAUCUGGCCCAUCAGGGAAGCAGGAUCUCAGCAAAUCACAGCAACAACACUGUGACACAGUGUUACAAAAUGGCCACCAGCACCUAAAAUGGAGGCUCAAGCCUUUGAACCGGUUUGAACUGGUUUGAACCGAACCUGGCUCUGUGUGGUCUGAGUUUGAACCUUUGAACCAGUUUGAAUUUGAACCUGUUUGCACAUCCCUAGAAUGCACAAUUAAUCUGGAGAAUACAUUAAGCCAGUUUCUGAAGCUGAAGAAAGUGCACUGGGACUAUUCAAGAAUAAGCAUGGGUUAACUAUCUUCUAAGACUGCAAGAACAUUAGGAGACCCCUACUGGUUCAGAUGAGAAAUCCAUCUAGUCCACCAUUCUGUUUACAACUUUGGCCAGCCAAAUGCCUCUGGGAAGCUUUCAGGCAGAACAUGAGUGCAAUGAUCUUCCCUCUUUGACUGUACUCCAGCAAAGUGUUUCACUGCCUCUGGACCUGGAGUUUCCAUUUAAGUAGCCUGACUAGCAGCCACUGACAGACCUAUCACCCACCAAUUUAUCUAGCGGCCAUCUGAAACCAUCCAGAAGCAACUUUGAGGACAUUAUUGGAAAAAUGAAGUAAAUAUUAGAAUAGAAGUAAAAAUAAAUAAUCCUUUGUUCCA